Molecule: small RNA, 135 nt
Filed under: Escherichia whittamii
Lineage: Bacteria; Pseudomonadati; Pseudomonadota; Gammaproteobacteria; Enterobacterales; Enterobacteriaceae
Description: Escherichia sp. Sa2BVA5 RtT sRNA
Rfam family: RtT RNA
About the family: This family represents a bacterial cis-regulatory element known as RtT RNA. The exact function of RtT is unknown although it is thought that it may be involved in changing the cellular response in relation to amino acid starvation.
Source: RNAcentral
UGCAUCUGUAGCCUAAAGAGGAUGAGAACCUCCGGGGGCAGGGAGGUUCGACUCGAGCGAAGCGAGAGAACGUUGCGCCAGCAACGGCCCGCAGGGCGAGCCACGAAGUGGCGAGUAAUCCUCUAUCACCGACCA